GAUCAGUGGCUACAGGACGAACGCUGGCGGUGUGCUUCACACAUGCAAGUCGAACGAGGUAGCAAUACCUAGUGGCGGACGGGUGAGUAACGCGUGGGAAUCUGCCUUUAGAUGGGGGAUAACGGGUCGAAAGACUCGCUAAUACCGCAUAUGACGAAAGUUGAAAGGAGUAAUCCGUCUAAAGAUGAGCCCGCGUCCGAUUAGCUAGUUGGUAGAGUAAAAGCCUACCAAGGCGACGAUCGGUAGCUGGUCUGAGAGGAUGAUCAGCCACAAUGGGACUGAGACACGGCCCAUACUCCUACGGGAGGCAGCAGUGGGGAAUUUUACGCAAUGGGCGAAAGCCUGACGUAGCGACACCGCGUGAGCGAAGAAGCCCCUUGGGGUGUAAAGCUCUGUCAGCUGGAACGAAAAAAUGACGGUACCAGCAGAGGAAGCAUCGGCUAACUACGUG
RNAcentral lists this ribosomal RNA (451 nucleotides) under uncultured bacterium. RNAcentral describes it as "bacterial SSU rRNA". It matches the Rfam family "Bacterial small subunit ribosomal RNA", at positions 1 to 507 of the family's 1533-position model. The record is from RNAcentral.